This 443-nucleotide ribosomal RNA is filed under the name uncultured bacterium. Its description in RNAcentral is "bacterial SSU rRNA". It matches the Rfam family "Bacterial small subunit ribosomal RNA", at positions 29 to 487 of the family's 1533-position model. The record is from RNAcentral.
AAUGAACGUUGGCGGCGUGGAUUAGGCAUGCAAGUCGAGCGAGAACCCGCAAGGGGGACAGCGGCAAACGGGGUAGUAAUGUGUCGGAACGUGCCCUCUGGACGGGGAUAGCGGCGGGAAACUGCCGGUAAUACCCGAUGAACUCGAGAGAGCAAAGGUGUGAUUCCGCCGGAGGAGCGGCCGACAUGGGUAUUAGCUAGUUGGCGGGGUAACGGCCCACCAAGGCUGUGAUGCCUAGGGGAUGUGAGAGCAUGAUCCCCACCAUUGGGACUGAGACACUGCCCAGACACCUACGGGUGGCUGCAGUCGAGAAUCUUCGUCAAUGGGCGAAAGCCUGAACGAGCGACGCCGCGUGCGGGAUGAAGGCCCUUGGGUUGUAAACCGCUGUCGAGGGGGAUGAAGUGUACGAGAGUUAUCUCUUGUAUUUGACAGAGCCUCAGAGG